GAUGUCGGCUCAUCACAUCCUGGGGCUGAAGUAGGUCCCAAGGGUAUGGCUGUUCGCCAUUUAAAGUGGUACGCGAGCUGGGUUUAGAACGUCGUGAGACAGUUCGGUCCCUAUCUGCCGUGGGCGUAGGAGAAUUGGUUGGGGCUGCUCCUAGUACGAGAGGACCGGAGUGGACGCACCACUGGUGUUCCGGUUGUGUCGCCAGACGCAUUGCCGGGUAGCUAAGUGCGGAAGAGAUAAGUGCUGAAAGCAUCUAAGCACGAAACUUGCCAAGAGAUGAGUUCUCCCAGAUUAUAAAUCUGUAAGGGUUGUUUAAGACGAAGACGUAGAUAGGUCUGGUGUGUAAGUGUAGUGAUACAUUGAGCUAACAGAUACUAAUUGCCCGAGAGGCUUAACUAUACAACGCUCAAG
Molecule: ribosomal RNA, 411 nt
Filed under: Haemophilus influenzae
Lineage: Bacteria; Pseudomonadati; Pseudomonadota; Gammaproteobacteria; Pasteurellales; Pasteurellaceae
Description: bacterial LSU rRNA
Rfam family: Bacterial large subunit ribosomal RNA
Source: RNAcentral